RNAcentral lists this ribosomal RNA (327 nucleotides) under uncultured eukaryote. RNAcentral describes it as "partial 18S ribosomal RNA". It matches the Rfam family "Eukaryotic small subunit ribosomal RNA", at positions 1470 to 1796 of the family's 1831-position model. The record is from RNAcentral.
CCCUUAGACGUUCUGGGCCGCACGCGCGCUACACUGACCAGUGCAACAAGCAUCCGUCCUUGGCCGACAGGCCCGGGCAAUCUUUGAACGCUGGUCGUGAUGGGGAUAGACUUUUGCAAUUUUUGGUCUUCAACGAGGAAUUCCUAGUAAACGCAAGUCAUCAACUUGCAUUGAUUACGUCCCUGCCCUUUGUACACACCGCCCGUCGCUCCUACCGAUUGGGUGUGCUGGUGAAAUGUUCGGAUCGGCCGUUUGUCGCGGUUUCCGCGUCAUGUGGCUGAGAAGUUCAUUAAACCCUCCCACCUAGAGGAAGGAGAAGUCGUAACA